This 429-nucleotide ribosomal RNA is filed under the name Gemmatimonadota bacterium. RNAcentral's name for it is "Gemmatimonadetes bacterium partial 16S ribosomal RNA". It matches the Rfam family "Bacterial small subunit ribosomal RNA", at positions 355 to 776 of the family's 1533-position model. Lineage: Bacteria; Pseudomonadati; Gemmatimonadota. The record is from RNAcentral.
UAGGGAAUCUUCGGCAAUGGACGAAAGUCUGACCGAGCAACGCCGCGUGAGUGAAGAAGGUCUUCGGAUCGUAAAACUCUGUUGUUAGAGAAGAACAAGGACGUUAGUAACUGAACGUCCCCUGACGGUAUCUAACCAGAAAGCCACGACUAACUACGUGCCAGCAGCCGCGGUAAUACGUAGGUGGCAAGCGUUGUCCGGACUUAUUGGGCGUAAAGCGGGCGCAGGCGGUUUCUUAAGUCUGAUGUGAAAGCCCCCGGCUCAACCGGGGAGGGUCAUUGGAAACUGGGAGACUUGAGUGCAGAAGAGGAGAGUGGAAUUCCAUGUGUAGCGGUGAAAUGCGUAGAUAUAUGGAGGAACACCAGUGGCGAAGGCGGCUCUCUGGUCUAAAACUGACGCUGAGGCUCGAAAGCGUGGGGAGCAAACAGG